GUUUCAGCUGACCGUGCAAGGCAGCCCAGAGGCCCAGGCUGCCCCCGCCGGCUGCCCACAGGAGAAGGAGCUGGAAGAAGAGCGCGGGGGCAUCAGGAGCAGCAAAGAGCAGCGUCCUGACAAGCUCCUGCAGCAGCACGAAGAGCUUUCUCUCCCCAUGCUGCCAAACUGGGGGAAGGCGCGAGGUGGCAAGGCAUGGAGAGCAAGCCUCCUGCCAGGUGAGAGCCUUGGGGGAAGGGCUGAGGGGGACACUUGUACCUGCGCAGGGGACACGUCCCCCUUUGGGCACACCGGCCCGAGGGACUGAGAAAGCCUCCUGACACACGCCCCAGCAAAGGCUGCCCGCUUGCUGGAUGGCAAGCAUGCGCAGCUUUGCGGGAGAGCCUCAUGUUGCCUUCGUUUUCUUGCAGUGUCCCAACCUUUUGGGGAGCUGAAUGCAAAUCUGCAGUAGCAAACACCUCCUGCCCUUGUCCUAACGCACCCUGUGCUGUCUCCUCAGGAUCCUUAGGAAGCAGGCAGCCCCCAUCCUGGGCACCUCCCUGGGGAACGAGGUUGACAUUCAAUACCUCGAGGCUGCAUCCUCCCACUGGACCUCAGAGCAGCCGUGCUGCCACCACUCUCAGGGGUGCAGCACAGAGCUUCGGAAGAGCUACCCACUUCUCCCCCUUGAAAGAGAAACAGAGGCAGCACCAAGCACCGUGGGAUGAACAGCAGGCUGCACUGGAGAAACACGUGCKGCGUCAGGCCCAGAUCAUGCUGCUGGAGAAGCAACUCGACCUCGAGCAGCACCGUUACCCAGACACUGACAUGCUGGGGAGGCCCCCACAAAGGCAAGCGUCCCUGCAAGCAAAGCAGAACAUGCAGCUUAUGACUUCCUACAAAGUUCUUCGGGACAGAUGGAAGGAAAGGGUGGAACAAAACUGACAGAGGCUGAAGAAGGAGGAGGAGGAGCGCCGGUAAAUCCCUCGCAACCCAGCAACGUCUCAAGUGGCGCAACAUCUUCCUGCUGAACCCUGCAGUGCUUUGGUGAUGUGCUGCCUCCGCAACAGAGAGCAGCAGGACCGCAUGCUGGGCAGUUACCACUGAAAUGGCUUUUAUCCAUGGGAAUAAACGGCCUUUCCGAGUUGG
This 1128-nucleotide long non-coding RNA is filed under the name Apteryx rowi (Okarito brown kiwi). RNAcentral's name for it is "lncRNA (ENSARWG00000010647.1)". Lineage: Eukaryota; Metazoa; Chordata; Aves; Apterygiformes; Apterygidae. The record is from RNAcentral.